UACGGGAGGCAGCAGUAGGGAGUUUUCGGCAAUGGGCGAAACCCUGAUGCAGCAACGCCGCGUGAGCGAAGAAGGCCUUUGGGUCGUAAAGCUCUGUCCUGAAGGAAGAAGGAAGUGACGGUACUUCAGGAGGAAGCCCCGGCUAACUACGUGCCAGCAGCCGCGUAAU
This 169-nucleotide ribosomal RNA is filed under the name uncultured rumen bacterium. RNAcentral describes it as "partial 16S ribosomal RNA". It matches the Rfam family "Bacterial small subunit ribosomal RNA", at positions 340 to 524 of the family's 1533-position model. The record is from RNAcentral.